RNAcentral lists this small RNA (27 nucleotides) under Bombyx mori (domestic silkworm). RNAcentral's name for it is "ovarian small RNA-4134". The record is from RNAcentral. Lineage: Eukaryota; Metazoa; Arthropoda; Insecta; Lepidoptera; Bombycidae.
UUGCAACGGUGUCGUUUCCUGCUUUUA